This 1282-nucleotide ribosomal RNA is filed under the name Salmonella enterica subsp. enterica serovar Typhimurium. Its description in RNAcentral is "partial 23S ribosomal RNA". It matches the Rfam family "Bacterial large subunit ribosomal RNA", at positions 1 to 1230 of the family's 2925-position model. The record is from RNAcentral. Lineage: Bacteria; Pseudomonadati; Pseudomonadota; Gammaproteobacteria; Enterobacterales; Enterobacteriaceae.
GGGUUGUGAGGUUAAGCGACUAAGCGUACACGGUGGAUGCCCUGGCAGUCAGAGGCGAUGAAGGACGUGCUAAUCUGCGAUAAGCGCCGGUAAGGUGAUAUGAACCGUUAUAACCGGCGAUUUCCGAAUGGGGAAACCCAGUGUGAUUCGUCACACUAUCAUUAACUGAAUCCAUAGGUUAAUGAGGCGAACCGGGGGAACUGAAACAUCUAAGUACCCCGAGGAAAAGAAAUCAACCGAGAUUCCCCCAGUAGCGGCGAGCGAACGGGGAGGAGCCCAGAGCCUGAAUCAGCAUGUGUGUUAGUGGAAGCGUCUGGAAAGGCGCGCGAUACAGGGUGACAGCCCCGUACACAAAAGCGCAUGUGCUGUGAGCUCGAUGAGUAGGGCGGGACACGUGGUAUCCUGUCUGAAUAUGGGGGGACCAUCCUCCAAGGCUAAAUACUCCUGACUGACCGAUAGUGAACCAGUACCGUGAGGGAAAGGCGAAAAGAACCCCGGCGAGGGGAGUGAAAAAGAACCUGAAACCGUGUACGUACAAGCAGUGGGAGCACCCUUCGGGGUGUGACUGCGUACCUUUUGUAUAAUGGGUCAGCGACUUAUAUUCUGUAGCAAGGUUAACCGUAUAGGGGAGCCGGAGGGAAACCGAGUCUUAAUUGGGCGUUAAGUUGCAGGGUAUAGACCCGAAACCCGGUGAUCUAGCCAUGGGCAGGUUGAAGGUUGGGUAACACUAACUGGAGGACCGAACCGACUAAUGUUGAAAAAUUAGCGGAUGACCUGUGGCUGGGGGUGAAAGGCCAAUCAAACCGGGAGAUAGCUGGUUCUCCCCGAAAGCUAUUUAGGUAGCGCCUCGUGAAUUCAUCUCCGGGGGUAGAGCACUGUUUCGGCUAGGGGGCCAUCCCGGCUUACCAACCCGAUGCAAACUGCGAAUACCGGAGAAUGUUAUCACGGGAGACACACGGCGGGUGCUAACGUCCGUCGUGAAGAGGGAAACAACCCAGACCGCCAGCUAAGGUCCCAAAGUCAUGGUUAAGUGGGAAACGAUGUGGGAAGGCCCAGACAGCCAGGAUGUUGGCUUAGAAGCAGCCAUCAUUUAAAGAAAGCGUAAUAGCUCACUGGUCGAGUCGGCCUGCGCGGAAGAUGUAACGGGGCUAAACCAUGCACCGAAGCUGCGGCAGCGAACGUAUCACCCAAGACAACUUUACGGAGUUGACGAUUGACGGAGCGAAGCGACGUCAAAGCGUUCAUUAAAGUCGAGUUGGCUUAGGGAUACGUUCGUUGGGUA